UCUUCAAGGCAGUUCCAAAGCUAAGAAACUGCUGUGUGUGUUUUGCAGAAACAGGUCUUGAGGGAGUACAGUCUAAGGAGUUUAUCUAGAGAUAUUUGUAAUCUCUCCAAAUUAUAGUGCUGGCAUUGAGAUCGUCACCAGGACACUGAAUAGUAUCUUCCUUCAGACAGAGAUUGAGAAGAGGAAAUACCACCACUGUGCAGCCAAGCUGUGCUGAGGACUGAUUGAAAGAAACUGCUGCUCCAGAUGUUGCUCUAGCCAGCUUUCGAAGUGUGAGCAGGUUCAUUUUUCUAAUGAAAACCACAGGGGCAGUGUCUACACUGGCAAGAUGAAGUAGAGAAACAAGCAAUCUGAGUCAUGUAUCCACUAAUGAUUUCAGAUGACUCUUUCCUACAAAAUGUCACCAAUAAUGAACAAGCCAACAGCCCCGGAGAUGGUGGGUCACAAAGGUUGGAGAAAAAGGGAUGAAGCAAGGAAUUUCAUCAACAAAAGUCCCAUCAGCUGGGGAGAGGUGCUCUCUCCUUUGAAGCUCAUGUUUCUCAGAAAUGAGAUUCUGUAUUCCCAGGCCUCCACUCUGCAGUCCCAGCACAAACACACGCACCAACAGCUGCUCGGAGCUUUGAAGAGGGAGCAAGAAGCU
Long non-coding RNA from Vombatus ursinus (common wombat), 640 nucleotides. Lineage: Eukaryota; Metazoa; Chordata; Mammalia; Diprotodontia; Vombatidae. The record is from Ensembl.